This 434-nucleotide ribosomal RNA is filed under the name uncultured bacterium. RNAcentral's name for it is "bacterial SSU rRNA". It matches the Rfam family "Bacterial small subunit ribosomal RNA", at positions 958 to 1394 of the family's 1533-position model. The record is from RNAcentral.
AACGCGAAGAACCUUACCAAAACUUGACAUUCGGUGCAUAGUAUAGAAAUAUAUGAAACCCUUCGGGGCACCGGGACAGGUGGUGCAUGGUUGUCGUCAGCUCGUGUCGUGAGAUGUUCGGUUAAGUCCGGCAACGAGCGCAACCCCUAUGAAUAGUUGCCAAUAUUAAGUUAGGAACUCUAUUCAGACUGCCGUGGGAAACACGGAGGAAGGUGGGGAUGACGUCAAAUCAUCAUGCCCCUUACGUUUUGGGCUACACACGUGCUACAAUGGGCGCAACAAAGAGCAGCGAGGCAGCAAUGCGGAGCGAAUCUCAGAAAAGCGUUCUCAGUUCGGAUUGUGGGCUGCAACCCGCCCACAUGAAGUUGGAGUUGCUAGUAAUCCCGAAUCAGAAUGUCGGGGUGAAUGCGUUCCCGGGUCUUGUACACACCGAA